RNAcentral lists this long non-coding RNA (1003 nucleotides) under Salmo trutta (river trout). RNAcentral's name for it is "lncRNA (ENSSTUG00000046990.1)". The record is from RNAcentral. Lineage: Eukaryota; Metazoa; Chordata; Actinopteri; Salmoniformes; Salmonidae.
ACAAACCAUGCAGCAGAUCCUCAAUGAAAAUAAUCCAACUGGUAACUCUGAAUUGGACUACCGGUUUCUGUCAAAACACCCACACUGUGAUGAAAGUGACCUUGUGAAAAUCCAAGACAUGGAACAGCUUGGAUGUUAUCAGUCUUUGGACAAGUCAUGAUGAGGUUUAAUCUCUCGCUCCUUCCCUCUCUCUCCUGGCCUCUUCUCUGUCACUUCUCCCCUCAUAUCUCCUCUACAGCACGUGGGUAUUGCGGCCUUCUUGAUCAAGUUCUAAUGAAGUGGCUGAUGAUAUCUGCAUCCUGUUGAUAGACACUAUGCCCCCAGAUGCAGAGACUGGAGGAGACAACAGCCAUUAUUUAAUAUCUGCUCAUUAUUACUGAACCAAAAUGUAAACGCAACAUGUAAAGUGUUGGUCCAAUGUUUCAUGAGCUCAAUUAAAAGAUCCCAGAAAUGGUUUACAUCCUUGUUAGUGAACAUUUUCUGAUAAUCCAUCCACUUGACAGGUGUGGCAUAUCAAGAAGCUGAUUAUAAAGCAUUAUCAUUACACAGGUGCACCAUGUGCUGGGGACAAUAAAAGGACACUCUAAAAUGUGCAGUUAGUGCCACAUAACACAAUACCAUAUAUGUCUAAAAUUUAGAGAUAGUGUGCAAUUGGCAUGCUGACUGCAGGAAUGUCCACCAGAGUUGUUGCCAGAUAAUUUAUUGUUAAUUUCUCUGCCAUAAGCCAUCUCCAACGACGUUUUAGAGAAUUUGGCAGUAUGUCCAACCGGCCUCACAACCGCAGAGCACGUGUAACCACGCCAGCCCAGGACCUCCACAUCUGACUUAUUCACCUGCGGGAUCGUCUGAGACCCGCCACGCGAACAGGUAAUGAAACUGAGGAGUAUUUCUGUCUGUAAUGUAGCCCUUUUGUGGAGAAAGCUCAUUCUGAUUGGUUGGGCCUGGCUCCGCAGUGGGUGGCCCAUCCAUGGCUACGCCCAGUCAUGUAAAAUCCAUAGAUUAG